AUUGAACGCUGGCGGCAAGCCUAACACAUGCAAGUCGAGCGGAUGAAGGGAGCUUGCUCCUGGAUUCAGCGGCGGACGGGUGAGUAAUGCCUAGGAAUCUGCCUGGUAGUGGGGGAUAACGUCCGGAAACGGGCGCUAAUACCGCAUACGUCCUGAGGGAGAAAGUGGGGGAUCUUCGGACCUCACGCUAUCAGAUGAGCCUAGGUUGGAUUAGCUAGUUGGUGGGGUAAAGGCCUACCAAGGCGACGAUCCGUAACUGGUCUGAGAGGAUGAUCAGUCACACUGGAACUGAGACACGGUCCAGACUCCUACGGGAGACAGCAGUGGGGAAUAUUGGACAAUGGGCGAAAGCCUGAUCCAGCCAUGCCGCGUGUGUGAAGAAGGUUUUCGGAUUGUAAAGCACUUUAAGUUGGGAGGAAGGGCAGUAAGUUAAUACCUUGCUGUUUUGACGUUACCAACAGAAUAAGCACCGGCUAACUUCGUG
RNAcentral lists this ribosomal RNA (484 nucleotides) under uncultured bacterium. RNAcentral describes it as "partial 16S ribosomal RNA". It matches the Rfam family "Bacterial small subunit ribosomal RNA", at positions 30 to 507 of the family's 1533-position model. The record is from RNAcentral.